Molecule: ribosomal RNA, 207 nt
Filed under: uncultured bacterium
Lineage: Bacteria
Description: partial 16S ribosomal RNA
Rfam family: Bacterial small subunit ribosomal RNA
Source: RNAcentral
CACGUAGGCGGUUUGGUAAGUUUGAUGUGAAAGCCCCCGACUCAAUCGGGGAAGUGCAUUGAAUACUGCUAGACUUGAGUGUAGGAGGGGAGAACGGAAUUCCUGGUGUAGAGGUGAAAUUCGUAGAUAUCAGGAGGAACAACGGCGGCGAAGGCGGUUCUCUGGACUAUUACUGACGCUGAGGUGCGAAAGCGUGGGGAGCGAACA